GGGGGGAAAUGGGGGGGAUGCCUAAGACAUGCAAGUCGAACGAGGUGUCCCAAUGAAAAUGAAGUACUUGUACGGAAGAGGGUUUGGAUUCACACCUAGUGGCGAACGGGUGAGUAACGGGUAGGCAACCUGCCCUCAAGACGGGGAUACCAGUUGGAAACGACUGUUAAUACCGGAUAGUAUACAAUAUCGCAUGGUAAUGUAUUUAAAGGAGCUUCGGCUUCACUUGAGGAUGGGCCUGCUUUGUAUUAGAUAGUUGGUGAGGUAAUGGCUCACCAAGUCAACGAUGCAUAGCCGAACUGAGAGGUUGAACGGCCACACUGGAACUGAGACACGGUCCAGACUCCUACGGGAGGCAGCAGUUAGGGAUAUUGGGCAAUGGAGGAAACUCUGACCCAGCAAUGCCGCGUGAGUGAAGAAGUAUUUCGGUAUGUAAAACUCUGUUGUAUGGGAGGAAAGAACUAGUAGGAAAUGGCUAGGAGAUGACUGUACCAUACGAGAAAGUCACGGCCAACUACGUGCCAGCAGCCGCGGUAAUACGUAGGUGGCAAGCGUUAUCCGGAAUUAUUGGGCGUAAAGGGUGCGUAGGUGGCAUGUUAAGUCUGGUGUAAAAGGCAAUAGCUCAACUAUUGUAUGCAUUGGAAACUGGCAAGCUAGAGUGUGUGAGAGGUAAGUGGAAUUCCAAGUGUAGCGGUGGAAUGCGUAGAUAUUUGGAGGAACACCAGUGGCGAAGGCGGCUUACUGGCACACAACUGACACUGAGGCACGACAGCGUGGGGAGCAAAUAGGAUUAGAUACCCUAGUAGUCCACGCCGUAAACGAUGAGCGCUAAGUGUUGGCCAUUAGUUUGGUCAGUGCUGAAGCAAACGCAUUAAGCGCUCCGCCUGAAGGAGUACGGUCGCAAGGCUGAAACUCAAAGGAAUUGACCGGUCCCCGCCACAACCGGUGGAAGCAUGUGGUUUAAAUUCGAAAGAUACGCCGAAGAAACCUUAACCUACACUUUGACAUCCCUUCUCACAGAUAUUAAAGAAUAUAUUUUUUCUUCCGAAAAGAGGUUAAAAAGUUGG
This 1067-nucleotide ribosomal RNA is filed under the name uncultured bacterium. RNAcentral's name for it is "bacterial SSU rRNA". It matches the Rfam family "Bacterial small subunit ribosomal RNA", at positions 25 to 1042 of the family's 1533-position model. The record is from RNAcentral.